AAUCUCGCUCACUUCUGCAUGCCUCUCUCUCACUCGCACUCUCUCACAUUCUUCAAGAAUCGUUUUCUUUGCAUUUUCAAAAUUCACUUGAGCUUUGCUUGCAGACUUCACAAACGGACGCUCACCACUUAUUCUCAUCGAUCACUUUAGAAGCUAUUGCACCCUUCCCAAAUCCAACUGCUUCGAUUCUAAUCCCAACCAAUCACAGUUUGAUUUUCCCUUUCUCUAAUUUUUAUUUCUGACAUUAUUCUUUCUUUUCUGAAGGUCACCUUGUAUUAUUGGUGGUUGAUUAAAGCCAGAAAAACGACUUCCAAGGAAAGUGUUUAGUCGUCGCUAGUGUCUCAUCGAGAAAGGUCGUAUUGCCAAUGCAGAAUCCACAAAAUGGGGAAAAGUGGUGUCGGCCACAUUGGUGGCUGUGGUUAUUGCCUUCAGCUCUGACAUGUCAUCCCUUGCUGAUCUCAAUAAAUUUAAGGCUGAAAUGAGGGGUGAAUUUGGAAUAGGAUCGACUGCAUAGUUUGGCUAUGUAGACCUCAAGCUUGUUCUGUUUCCUUCAUUCUACUUUACUAUCUUCUUUCGGGUUAUGAACUAUUAUGGGAAACAACAAUAAUAAUUGAAUUGGGAUCCUUUAUUGUUGUGUAGGAAAACAGUGCAUGUCAAUGAAAAUUUCAUGUAAUGUUUUGUUUCAAUUGGCCGUGUUAUAAUAAAAAAAAUUACAUAUGCAACAUUCAUCUUUCCCUGUUCCUUUAGUCGAUGUUCCUUUUUUCGUUGUUUCUAUUGUACAUCAUAUAUAGGUACAAGUAUGAGUUGGCUCGACACCAUAGUUUUCAUUCUUUUAAUGCAACCUUGUCAAAAAGAUUAUACUUCUCUAGUGUAAACAUUCCAAACUCAAGAUUUUUCAAUUUUGUAAUAUUUUUCAGCAUCCAUUGGUCCCUCAAAUUGAUGUUUUACUUGAGUUCUGAAUUAUCGAUUGUAGUACUGGAGGCACUACUUGUCAGAUGCAAGUAUUGAACUCAUAAGCAUACUAGGAAACUAGCUAAAUUCUUCUAUGCAGUUAACGUAUAAGUGUAUUUCAAAUUAACAUGAGUUAAGCAUAGUAGAACAAUGCUACUUCAAUUUAUUCUAAAUUGUCACUUCAUAGCAAAUUAUGGAAUCUAAUAAUGUAUAAAUUUGGAGUCCUCUAUUCAUAAUCAUUCUAAAUGAAUGAUAUAGAAGAGCUAACAUUUUUGGUGAAAAACACCAAGAUCGUCCUCUAUUCAUAUGAAGUGUUUAUGGAAAACUUUAUCCAAACAGGACGAUCUUGGUGUUUUUCACCUUUCCCUUUCUAUUUGAUAAGCCUUAUUUUAAAAUUUUGGUAAUCAUAUGAUGUCUAUAGUGAUCUUGUAAGAGUCAAUGUUUAUGGUGGUUAUUGUUCCUCCUUUUAUUAUGUAUAGUUUGUAUGUUAUUUCAAUUUGAUAUUUUUUACUUGGUCCUCAUUUUUCUUGAUUAGUAGGUUUUCCAAUGUUUUUUAUUUGGCUUUCCUCUAGACUGGGAAAGCUAUGCUCUAGAUUGCUUCAGAGAAGAAUCUACCACUAGCACUGAUUUAGGUAGUGUUAUUCCUGAUAAUGUACCAACUAGUUCUCCAAAAAUUUUAUCUGAUGGUAAAUAUUCAAACAAUGUUUGUAAAUGAUUUGCAUUUAUGUUUAGUCAUUUCUUAUACUUGUUUGGUGUUUUAUCAUUUCCUAUCUAUCCAAUCUCUAUAUGGAUAUUUUAAUUGUUAUGGCGUGGAAAAUUGGUAAAUAUUUUAAUUGUGUAGCCAGCCCAGAAGUAAACAACUGAAAUUGCUUGUCCAUCCCUAUAAGUGCCAAGAAAUUAUUUUUCUCUAGUCAGAUACAAAAUGUAAUUAAGCUACAAACCUAUGGUAGAACGUCAGAUUUUCAAGAUAAAGGUUACAUACACAGAAAGUGUUCCAUUUGGCAGAAUUUCUCCUUCUUGAUCAAUUUUGGUCAACGUUUUGCGUAUGCUUCUAAUAUGAGCAGUGGAUGUGCUAAUUGUUCUAAUUAUCUAUUCAUGCAGUUUAUAUGCAGGUAGUUAUACAUAUUAAAAAAUAAAAAUCUUGGGGAGUAACUGCCCCCAAACCUCAAAACCUAGAUCUGUCCAUGUCCAUAAAAACAUUGUCCAUAGCUGUCUGUGGAUUUGAUUAAGCCAGACAUGAAACUAAUAGGAUAGAAGAGUAUUUCAUAAUUGGUGCUUAUAAAUAUUGAUCAUACUUGAAAUGGUACCUCCAAACAUAUAUUGUUAGGAACAGAUUUGGCAAGUUCUGCUUCAUCCAAUUUUGCUCUAUUUGUUGCAGAAAAGGCUUCAAUAUCUUCCAUGCUGGGGGAACCAGGCCUAUAGGCAAAACUCAACAAUUAAGCCAGGCAUCCCCUACUAAUUCCAACAAGUUCAGCAACAGAUUAAGCAUAAAUGGAAUAUUAAUUCGAGCCACAAAUUGCAUUGUGUGAAACACCAAAAGUAUGGCUAGAUGUAUUUUGUCAACCAGCAACUAUACGUGCUUAAACAAGAGUUGAAGCAAGGAAUAAAACUAGAGUUAUACCAAAUUGCAUCACAGUACUCAUCGCCACUUGAGCCACCUAAUAUACAAGUGGUAGCUGCACGUGUGAGAACCAAGGGGAGUUGUGCUGAUGCUGACACAAUUCCAUCAGCUAAAGAGCCUUCUAAUCUGCACGUUGACACUAUGGGCUUGUACGUAGUUCAUGACCAGUGUACUAAACUAGUUGCAUUGGGAAAAGUGUAUGAUAGUAUGUCGACCAUACACAAUGUCCCUUAUGCAGAUGAUGUGGUUAGGGUGAGUGUUGUCAAAGUUUACCACGGUGAUGCUCAGGUCCCUUUUUUGACAUCAGAGAUUCAAUUUGUGAGGCAGGUCGUUGGGACAUUCGUUGGGUGGCCGACACAUCUUGUGAAACCUGUAGCUAAUGAGGACUUACAAAUGUGUAUGCCGAAAAGGGUUACAUCUGCAGGAAUGGACACUUCAGUGCCUACAGUUGAUCCAUUGGGAGAAUUGGUUAAAAACCUUUUUGAUGUUUACCAAAAGCCAUUUGAGUUUCCAUGGGAUGGGGCGAAAUUUGGGAUUCCUAAUGUCAAAUAGGGUUUUUUCAUCACACACGCAAAUGUAACCAAGAUAAUUUUAGGUGACAAAUGUUUGAACAUAUCCAUACUAUAGUUGUGGACCAUGUUCAUGAAUGAUUGGAGCACAAGCUUAGGUUAUGGAUCACUGUAUGGUUUCCUUGAACCUCAGUGUAUACACAACACAAAGGACAAACGUCAAGAAUUUCAUCAAAACAUUCAAACAUGGGUCAAGGAAUCACAACGACAAGUGUACCUAGGAGCUUAUCUGAAUCAGACAAUAUUGUUAUUUAGUUGUGUUCUUUGCAUAAGAAGCCUGAUGUCAACAUCAAGGGUGCAAUUAACAGUGCAAUGAAGACAUUAACCAGUAGUUUGGAAGGAAAGGGAUAUCAAGUUGGACCUCGGUGGAUUGAACCAAAGAACAAUGAGUAGAUGUCAGGUCUGAAGCAUCUAGUAGAUGGAGCAAAGCAGCAUCACAAUGUGAAGUAGAUCCAGCAGUUUACACCCACCAGCAGAUUAUGAUACUGCAGGUCGUGCAAUUGGUGGAUGUCCUAUUUAUGUUAGUGACAAGCCAGACAAUGACAAUUUUGAUCUUCUGGUGACGGUCAUUCAGAUUUUGAUGCUUAUGCGCCAAAGGAUUUGCUUAUUGUGACAACGGGAUCUCAAGCAGAGCCACGUGCUGCCUUUAAUCUUGCAUAUUUUGGAAGUAGUCAUUCUUUCAAGCUGACAAAGGAAGAUAUUGUUUUGUAUUUAGCUAAGGUUAUCCCUGCUAAUGGGUCUCAUGUUAUGGAACUGCUAAACAACAUAUCAGAGAUUGGAUCAACUAUAGUUAUGGGGAAGAAUGAAUGUAUGCAUAUGUCUGGUCAUGGGUAUCGUGGAGAAUUAGAAAAUCCUGUAGCUGUUCUUGCUAAUGAGAUAAACACAAAGUUUUCUGGAAAGUUAAAUGUGGAUGGGAUGUCGACAUUGAGAAAAAUGGUGGAUGGACAUGAGAAAGAAAAUCAGAGAACCAAAAUGCAAAUAAGAGCGCAUAUAUGUUGUUGCAUACCUUGGUAAUGCUUAAUGAAUCCAACGGACCCACGACAUCAUCAACAAGGUCAAGUAAGUUUGCUUUUUGUGGCUCCGCAGGAUGCUCAGAAAGUCCAUAACCUCUAAAAUCAAAGGCAAUAGCCCGGUAGCCAGCAUUUGCUGCAGCAAUCAUCUAGUGCCUCCACGUAUACCAUAUUUCUUGGAAUCCAUGUAAGAAAACCAGUGCCUUUUGACUUGCACCAACAGAAUUAUCACUAAAAAAAAUCACACAUUUUAAGAUGGUUCUGCCAAGAACCGUCUAGUACAUUCUAAGAAGGUCUUGAUCCGUAUGGGUUUUUUUGUUGAAUAAUUUUUUUUCAAUUUUUCUUCUAAAUUUGUUUUUUUUUU
This is a long non-coding RNA of Glycine soja, 4515 nucleotides long. RefSeq lists it as uncharacterized. The transcript is spliced from 13 exons. The record is from RefSeq and is a predicted model, not a curated record. NCBI's taxonomy places the organism in Eukaryota, Viridiplantae, Streptophyta, Magnoliopsida, Fabales, Fabaceae.